This 497-nucleotide ribosomal RNA is filed under the name uncultured bacterium. Its description in RNAcentral is "partial 16S ribosomal RNA". It matches the Rfam family "Bacterial small subunit ribosomal RNA", at positions 28 to 507 of the family's 1533-position model. The record is from RNAcentral.
GAUGAACGCUGGCGGCGUGCCUAAUACAUGCAAGUCGAGCGAACAGACGAGGAGCUUGCUCCUCUGACGUUAGCGGCGGACGGGUGGGUAACACGUGGAUAACCUACCUAUAAGACUGGGAUAACUUCGGGAAACCGGAGCUAAUACCGGAUAAUAUAUUGAACCGCAUGGUUCAAUAGUGAAAGACGGUUUUGCUGUCACUUAUAGAUGGAUCCGCGCCGCAUUAGCUAGUUGGUAAGGUCACGGCUUACCAAGGCAACGAUGCGUAGCCGACCUGAGAGGGUGAUCGGCCACACUGGAACGGAGACACGGUCCAGACUCCUACGGGAGGCAGCAGUAGGGAAUCUUCCGCAAUGGGCGAAAGCUUUACGGAGCAACGCCGCGUGAGUGAUGAAGGUCUUCGGAUCGUAAAACUCUGUUAUUAGGGAAGAACAAAUGUGUAAGUAACUAUGCACGUCUUGACGGUACCUAAUCAGAAAGCCACGGCUAACUACGUG